This 20-nucleotide small nuclear RNA is filed under the name Arabidopsis thaliana (thale cress). RNAcentral's name for it is "snRNA_16464". Lineage: Eukaryota; Viridiplantae; Streptophyta; Magnoliopsida; Brassicales; Brassicaceae. The record is from RNAcentral.
GUUGGAUUGUUCACCCACCA